This 647-nucleotide small RNA is filed under the name uncultured Dysosmobacter sp. Lineage: Bacteria; Bacillati; Bacillota; Clostridia; Eubacteriales; Oscillospiraceae. The record is from RNAcentral.
AAGCGGCGGCGCAGUAUUCUAGUCAGAUCUGCCGUUUCCGAGGGAGGACCUAAAAAGCCUUCAAAGGGCACACCUGUGAAACUUCUGGUGUCUGCUUGAGACGCCCAGUCUUGGGUGGAUGCUGGGAGGAAGCGCGUUUUUUGCGCUUGCGGACUCAGGGCGAUUUCCAAUGGCAUGGAUACCCCGACCCUGUUUCCGUGGAGACCUGUUCUUGUGCGUGGACGUACUCCCAUUGUGGUAAGCGGAUCCAUGUACGAAGCAGAUGAUGAACCUGCAAUGCGGUGCAUCGUGCCUUCGGGUGCGUAACGCUGUGUGCAGCCGUAGCCUGCCUUGCGUGAAGCUGGUGAAUGUGGGAUCAACACGGCGCCGUCCUGGCCGGGACUGGCGAUCGUGAUCGCCCGCUGAAACCUGUUUUGCAAAAGAGGCUAAAGAAACGGACAGACUGUGGUGGAAAACACCUAGGCUGUUCAUGGGAAGCGAAUCAGGGAUUGCAGUGCGGACUCAGUGGCAAUCGGGUAGCGCGAUCGGCGACGGCGCGCCUCGGAACUGAAAGGGGAACCGCCUCCAUCGGCAACGAGAGGUGUUCCGUGGGGAAAACAAACCCGCACCUAAGCCGCAAGAUUUACCUGGUUUGCUGCCGCUGACUU